Gavialis gangeticus (Gharial) is the source of this 471-nucleotide long non-coding RNA. RefSeq lists it as uncharacterized. Lineage: Eukaryota; Metazoa; Chordata; Crocodylia; Gavialidae. The record is from RefSeq and is a predicted model, not a curated record. The transcript is spliced from 3 exons.
CCCAUCUUUUAAAGGGAAUCUGUAAGGGAGGCAUUUCCUUUGGUAUACCACAAAUGGCUAAGUGAGGGCAUGUGAAGUGGUACCAGAGAAGAAUUUAACAAUACCUCCCAGAAGAGCACUGAAGAUUGAGUAGCUACGUAUAUUUAUACUUAGCUCGUUCCUCAGCUUCUUACUGAACUCCAGAGGUAAAGUACACAGACAUAUUUUACAGCAAGGACUGCAAAAUGGCAAUCUAUACUGCACCUGGAACAGGCCAAGUAAGUUCUUGUAGCUUCCGCCUCUUCCUUCUCUCUCCCCUUAUUUUAAGGGUUAAAAUUGAGUCCUAGUUGCUUCAUAAUUGAGCCUUGGUCUGGUGCCUCCCUUUAAACAGUGGGAUCAACAAACCAAUCUUUUUAUAAGGAAAAGGUAAGGAGCUGUCUGUUUACAAUUGCAUGUAUAAAAUGUUAUAUUGAGAAAGAAAAUAUUAAAUGC